GUAGAUCCUAGGGGCUGGAGAGAUGA
This 26-nucleotide non-coding RNA is filed under the name Cricetulus griseus (Chinese hamster). The record is from RNAcentral. Lineage: Eukaryota; Metazoa; Chordata; Mammalia; Rodentia; Cricetidae.